Molecule: ribosomal RNA, 701 nt
Filed under: bacterium SL4.38
Lineage: Bacteria
Description: bacterial SSU rRNA
Rfam family: Bacterial small subunit ribosomal RNA
Source: RNAcentral
UGCAGUCGAGCGAAGCUUUCGGGCUUAGCGGCGGACGGGUGAGUAACGCGUGGGAACGUGCCCUUUGGUACGGAAUAGUCCUGGGAAACUGGGUUUAAUACCGUAUAUUCUCUACGGAGGAAAGAUUUAUCGCCAAAGGAUCGGCCCGCGUUGGAUUAGGUAGUUGGUGGGGUAAUGGCCUACCAAGCCGACGAUCCAUAGCUGGUUUGAGAGGAUGAUCAGCCACACUGGGACUGAGACACGGCCCAGACUCCUACGGGAGGCAGCAGUGGGGAAUCUUAGACAAUGGGGGCAACCCUGAUCUAGCCAUGCCGCGUGAUCGAUGAAGGCCUUAGGGUUGUAAAGAUCUUUCGCUGGGGAAGAUAAUGACGGUACCCAGUAAAGAAGCCCCGGCUAACUCCGUGCCAGCAGCCGCGGUAAUACGGAGGGGGCUAGCGUUGUUCGGAAUUACUGGGCGUAAAGCGCGCGUAGGCGGAUUGGAAAGUUGGGGGUGAAAUCCCGGGGCUCAACCCCGGAACUGCCUCCAAAACUAUCAGUCUGGAGUUCGAGAGAGGUGAGUGGAAUUGCGAGUGUAGAGGUGAAAUUCGUAGAUAUUCGCAGGAACACCAGUGGCGAAGGCGGCUCACUGGCUCGAUACUGACGCUGAGGGUGCGAAGUGUGGGGAGCAAACAGGAUUAGAUACCCUGGUAGUCCACACCGUA